GGCCACUCGCGGAGGCCUCCUGAAUGGCCUGCAGGAGCUGCUGGUGCUGCUGCUGUACCUGUUGCUGUUGCAACUGUUGUUGCUGCUGCUGCUGCUGCACCUGUUGCUGUUGCAACUGUUGCUGCACCUGCACCUGCUGCUG
RNAcentral lists this small RNA (142 nucleotides) under Drosophila guanche. The record is from RNAcentral. Lineage: Eukaryota; Metazoa; Arthropoda; Insecta; Diptera; Drosophilidae.